Non-coding RNA from Podarcis lilfordi (Lilford's wall lizard), 74 nucleotides. The record is from the annotation of a GenBank genome assembly. Lineage: Eukaryota; Metazoa; Chordata; Lepidosauria; Squamata; Lacertidae.
AAUGAGGUAGCUCAGUCAGUAGAGCAUGGGACUCUUAAACUCAUGGUCGUGGGUUCUAGUCCCACUGUCAGGUG